ACUCAUAGUUAUUAUGUUACGUAUUUUAUUGUUUGUGGCCACGUAAAAGAUAUUAAGAACACUCUAAAUGGAAACGCAAGUAAACGCACAUGUUUUAGGGUCUUUUCAUUUAAACUUGGCUCAGUUUGUGAGCUACUUAGCGUGCUAGCUAGUUGGGAGCUAAAUGCUAGCGCAACGACAGACUGUUACAGGUGGACAGUGGAAACAUACAUGUUGCAGUUUCUGACUGAAUUAGUGUGUUUCGGCGGCCGCAGCUCAAACGGUUUGAAAGCGGUGGCUAACAGCGUUCUGGACCCCAAAAAGCUAGGACAGCGAAUGAAGCCCAUAAAACGUCCGAUAGGGAGAAGGAACUGUCCGCUUGUCAGCAACAGGCUGAGGGGAGUCAGGGGAACAUCGGUGUUGAUGCUAGAGGGGUUACCAUCAGCUCUGAUGUCAGAAUGCUGUCUUUACUGGCUGUCCCUUCGCUGUGGACUUGGCUGGGCUCCCCGAUGAAAAUCCACAGCUUCAUCCAUCAGAGCAGCUAUACAUUAUGUCACUGAGUCAUUACGGCAUCUCAGGACAUGUCCUCUUCUGAACCCGGCUCCAGAAAGAGCAACUCGAUGGAGAGGUUAAGAGCAACAAAUUAUCAGAUUUCACAUACACCUCUGUGGCCUGGGUGUGUUAACAGAAGGAUGCGCCCGUGUUUGCCGUCGGUCCCUGGGUCAGACAGGAAGUUGGCCAGACUGCGGUCAGUCCGAGACCUUUCGACUGGGUGCGAGGAAGACCUGCUGACAUCACCGUUGCAGAAUUGGAGAGACACAAUUAGAAGCCCUGGCCGGAAAGCAGGUCUGACCGGCUGGACGCUGAGACGAGACAGGCUCGCCGGGCGGUUCCUCUCCCUCCUCGUCUCUGAAGGCCCCUUGGCGAGACGCAGGCGGCCCGGGACGUCAGGCCCAGGCGGAGAGGCAAUCUGUCUCAGCGCAGUUGGCUGACGGAACGAUCCAAACACGUGGCAUCUCUCUGCGCUGAGCCGCGCGUGCUCCCACAGGGAGAAACAGGAAGGUUGGCAGCAGGUACGGUGGUCUGAAAUCGGGACGCGGCCGCCCAGCAUUGUUGCUGCGUUCUUAGUAGUAGUGGGAAAAGUCUGGAGACUUUACUUACUGUACAUCUUUUGCAUUUCUACUGGCUUAAAAAGGAAUGAAACGAGCUGAGCUGUCAGUCAGAGUGAGCGUUGUGAGAUCUGACAAAGCAGCACCGGCUGAAAUUACAAAACGAGCCCCAGCCUCCUCUGUCAACAGAUUGAGACAAAUAGACGCAAAUGUGUUUUCCACAAUCCAUGGGGUCAAACGACAGUCCUGACUGCGUAUAAAUGCCUAUAUUUAGGACAGUGCCUUGUACUGCCUCUAGCACCACAUUAACCUGUGACCUCUAACUAGGCACUAAGCUCCUGGUGGUUUACAGCUGGGACGACUACCUUGUGGCCUCAGAGCGGUGAUAAUAUAUCAGUUGGAAAUACUUAACACAUGACUCAGGAGGGAGAUACUCUAAUCAGAAAACCACUGCAGUGGAGUUGAAACACUGUAGUCAUCAACAGCUCUUUGCUUUAAAGUGAUGUCUUCCUACUGAAUUAACAAUAAAUGUAAGUAAAUAAAUAAAACCAAGCCGCUUCCCUAAAUCUGGUUCAAAUCUGGUUUCAUGUGCUUUAUUUCUAUGAGCGUCUAAUUGGGCGACUGGUGUUUGACACCCACGCGACAGGUGUUUGUAUUUGCCAUCCGGAAAACCCGCAGUAGGUUUAUUUAGGUUUUCACACCCGGGCGACAUCCGCCAUCUACGCAAGUCCUCUCCAACAGGAGGAAGGCGUCACGGCAGCGACUCGCGCUUCUGUCGGCCCGGCCGAGGCCCUGGACGAGACCCGGCCCAGCUGUAAAACGACACAACGCCUCAAGUAGCUCCUCACCAGCCAUCAA
Molecule: long non-coding RNA, 1946 nt
Organism: Betta splendens (Siamese fighting fish)
Lineage: Eukaryota; Metazoa; Chordata; Actinopteri; Anabantiformes; Osphronemidae
Exons: 6
Source: RefSeq, a predicted model, not a curated record